GUUGGAUUAAAUGAUCUCUUAGGUCUCUUUCCACUCUAAUCUAUUAUUCUGUGAUCCUAUAGUUGCUGGAGAAGGACUCAAUCUUUUAACUUUAAUGUUCAAACUGAAGAACGAAUCACAGCUCAAUCUACUCUAUAGAGGUGCCUUAAGUCUCCAAAAUCAUUCAACAUGGACAUAGUCAUCGUCUUCUUGAUUAUCUCCUUAAACCGAGUGAAGAGCACAAUGUUCAUGGGGUAGCCUUCAUCCCACACCUGGUUACAUAUCCAAGUCCCACGUCGAGUGCUGAGGAACACCUGGAAGAAAGAAAGAAAUUCAAGGAAGAAAGAAGAGACCCAAAGAACUGAGACAUAGAAAAG
Molecule: long non-coding RNA, 356 nt
Filed under: Vombatus ursinus (common wombat)
Lineage: Eukaryota; Metazoa; Chordata; Mammalia; Diprotodontia; Vombatidae
Description: lncRNA (ENSVURG00010002713.1)
Source: RNAcentral